AUAAUCUGUUAGUUUGUAUAUGACGUGGUGUAAUGGAUGGUUUUUUGUGGGU
RNAcentral lists this small RNA (52 nucleotides) under Plasmodium falciparum 3D7. Its description in RNAcentral is "Pfa-rasR6401". The record is from RNAcentral. Lineage: Eukaryota; Apicomplexa; Aconoidasida; Haemosporida; Plasmodiidae.